UAUUUAUUAGAUAAAAAACCAAUGCCCUUCGGGGCUCCUUGGUGAAUCAUAAUAACUUAACGAAUCGCAUGGCCUUGCGCCGGCGAUGGUUCAUUCAAAUUUCUGCCCUAUCAACUUUCGAUGGUAGGAUAGUGGCCUACCAUGGUAUCAACGGGUAACGGGGAAUUAGGGUUCGACUCCGGAGAGGGAGCCUGAGAAACGGCUACCACAUCCAAGGAAGGCAGCAGGCGCGCAAAUUACCCAAUCCCGACACGGGGAGGUAGUGACAAUAAAUACUGAUACAGGGCUCUUUUGGGUCUUGUAAUUGGAAUGAGUACAAUUUAAAUCCCUUAACGAGGAACAAUUGGAGGGCAAGUCUGGUGCCAGCGGCCGCGGUAAUUCCAGCUCCAAUAGCGUAUAUUAAAGUUGUUGCAGUUAAAAAGCUCGUAGUUGAACCUUGGGCCUGGCUGGCCGGUCCGCCUCACCGCGUGUACUGGUCCGGCCGGGCCUUUCCUUCUGGGGGAACCUCAUGCCCUUCACUGGGCGUGUUGGGGAACCAGGACUUUUACUUUGAAAAAAUUAGAGUGUUCAAAGCAA
Molecule: ribosomal RNA, 576 nt
Filed under: uncultured eukaryote
Lineage: Eukaryota
Description: SSU rRNA
Rfam family: Eukaryotic small subunit ribosomal RNA
Source: RNAcentral